Molecule: ribosomal RNA, 494 nt
Filed under: uncultured bacterium
Lineage: Bacteria
Description: partial 16S ribosomal RNA
Rfam family: Bacterial small subunit ribosomal RNA
Source: RNAcentral
GACGAACGCUGGCGGCGCGCUUAACACAUGCAAGUCGAACGGAAAGGCCUGCUUUCCCUUGUGGAUUGCGGGUACUCGAGUGGCGAACGGGUGAGUAACACGUGAGUGAUCUGCCCCCAACUUGGGUAUAAGCCUGGGAAACUGGGUCUAAUUCCCGAUAGGACUGCAGGGUGGUGCCUGUGGUGGAAAACGAUUUUCUAGUGGUUGGGGAUGAGCUCGCGGCCUAUCAGCUUGUUGGUGGGGUAAUGGCCUACCAAGGCGGCGACGGGUAGCCGGCCUGAGAGGGUGGACGGCCACAUUGGGACUGAGAUACGGCCCAGACGCGUACGGGAGGCAGCAGUGGGGAAUAUUGCACAAUGGGCGGAAGCCUGAUGCAGCGACGCCGCGUGGGGGAUGACGGCCUUCGGGUUGUAAACUCCUUUCGACCGCGAGGAAGCCACCUGGUUGGAAGGGUGGUGACGGUAGUGGUAGAAGAAGCACCGGCUAACUACGUG